RNAcentral lists this ribosomal RNA (497 nucleotides) under uncultured bacterium. Its description in RNAcentral is "partial 16S ribosomal RNA". It matches the Rfam family "Bacterial small subunit ribosomal RNA", at positions 28 to 507 of the family's 1533-position model. The record is from RNAcentral.
GAUGAACGCUGGCGGCAUGCCUAAUACAUGCAAGUCGAGCGAACAGACGAGGAGCUUUCUCCUCUGACGUUAUAGGCGGACGGGUGAUUAACACGUGGACAGCCUAACUAUAAGACUGGGAUAACUUCGGGAAACCAUGGCUACUACCCGAUAAUAUAUUGAAUCUGAUUGGGCAAUAGUGAAAGACGCUUUUGCUUUCACUUAUAGAUGGAUCAGCGCCGGAUUAAUUAGUUGGUAAGGUAACGGCUUAGCAAGGCGACGAUGCGUAGCCGACCUGAGAGGGUGAUCGGCCACACUGGAACUGAGACACGGUCCAGACUCCUACGGGAGGCAGCAGUAGGGAAUCUUCCGCAAUGGGCGAAAGCCUGACGGAGCAACGCCGCGUGAGUGAUGAAGGUCUUCGGAUCGUAAAACUCUGUUAUUAGGGAAGAACAAAUGUGUAAGUACCUAUGCACGUCUUGACGGUACCUAAUCAGAAAGCCACGGCUAACUACGUG